UCUAUACUAUGUGAAUCAUCGAAUCUUUGAACGCACAUUGCACUGACAGUAAUCGGUCAGUAUACCUGUUUGAGUAUCAUCUGCCUCUCAGCAGCCUGUGCGACACUUGCUGUUGCCCAGUCUGCUGGACAUGGACAGUCGUGGCAGUCAUGCCGCGUAGUCUUAAAUGCAGCGAAUUGGUUCGUUUCAACUGAACACCGAGAGCUAGUACUUGUCGGCCUCACAGCUGCGAGUUGAUCUGGGUGCUACUUGGUUGGAGCGCGGUUCGGCAAAAACAAUACUCCAGUUGUGGCUCAUUCUUGAGCUGCAUCUAAACUUUGAUCUCAAAUCAGGUAAGAUUACCCGCUGAACUUAAGCAUAUCAAUAAGCGGAGG
Molecule: ribosomal RNA, 374 nt
Filed under: uncultured Glomerales
Lineage: Eukaryota; Fungi; Glomeromycota; Glomeromycetes; Glomerales; Glomeraceae
Description: eukaryotic LSU rRNA
Rfam family: Eukaryotic large subunit ribosomal RNA (bases 319-374)
Source: RNAcentral